RNAcentral lists this non-coding RNA (217 nucleotides) under Paramoeba aestuarina. The record is from RNAcentral. Lineage: Eukaryota; Discosea; Flabellinia; Dactylopodida; Paramoebidae.
GGGAAGGACCAUCAUUUGUACUCUCCACCAACCUCGUUCUUCAAUCUUUUCUAUGUUCGAUUAUUUGUGUUGUCUCUCGGAAGGACGUGUUGUUUAUUUUGGAGCUGCAGGAGGAGCGGUUGAUUAUUUCGAAAGAGAAAUUGAACAAAAAUGCUCCGCUUAUUUUAAUCCUGCUGAUUUUAUUAUUGAUGUCUCUUUGGAAGACGAAAGAAGGAGA